Transfer RNA from Gloeophyllum trabeum ATCC 11539, 112 nucleotides. It matches the Rfam family "tRNA". Rfam says of the family: Transfer RNA (tRNA) molecules are approximately 80 nucleotides in length. Their secondary structure includes four short double-helical elements and three loops (D, anti-codon, and T loops). Further hydrogen bonds mediate the characteristic L-shaped molecular structure. tRNAs have two regions of fundamental functional importance: the anti-codon, which is responsible for specific mRNA codon recognition, and the 3' end, to which the tRNAs corresponding amino acid is attached (by aminoacyl-tRNA synthetases). tRNAs cope with the degeneracy of the genetic code in two manners: having more than one tRNA (with a specific anti-codon) for a particular amino acid; and 'wobble' base-pairing, i.e. permitting non-standard base-pairing at the 3rd anti-codon position. The record is from Rfam. Lineage: Eukaryota; Fungi; Basidiomycota; Agaricomycetes; Gloeophyllales; Gloeophyllaceae.
GGCCUUGUAGUGUAGCGGUCCUAUCACUCCGGAUUCUGAAUCAGGUUGCGUAACGAAGUUACGUGACAGACCCGAAAUUCCGGCAACCCAGGUUCGAGUCCUGGCAAGGCCU